AAGCUGGGAUGAGGGCACUUUCUCAAUAAAUCUUUGAAUCUUUCCCAAGCUUCAUGCAAACUCUCGUGAUCAUGGUGGACAAAGGUCAUUAUCUCAUUGCGUAGUUU
This 107-nucleotide small nucleolar RNA is filed under the name Jatropha curcas. RNAcentral's name for it is "Plant small nucleolar RNA R71". It matches the Rfam family "Plant small nucleolar RNA R71". Rfam says of the family: R71 is a member of the C/D box family of snoRNAs containing the C (UGAUGA) and D (CUGA) box motifs. The record is from Rfam by way of RNAcentral. Lineage: Eukaryota; Viridiplantae; Streptophyta; Magnoliopsida; Malpighiales; Euphorbiaceae.